This 484-nucleotide ribosomal RNA is filed under the name uncultured bacterium. Its description in RNAcentral is "bacterial SSU rRNA". It matches the Rfam family "Bacterial small subunit ribosomal RNA", at positions 10 to 507 of the family's 1533-position model. The record is from RNAcentral.
AGUUUGAUCAUGGCUCAGAACGAACGCUGGCGGCGCGUCUUAAACAUGCAAGUCGAACGAUCUGUAGCAAUACAGGGAGUGGCGGACGGGUGAGGAACACGUAGGAAUCUACCUUGAAGAGCGGGACAACUUUGGGAAACCGGGGCUAAUACCGCAUAGUACAGAGAUGUUAAAGGGCUAGCAAUAGUCGCUUCGAGAUGAGCCUGCGGUCUAUCAGCUUGUUGGUGAGGUAAUGGCUCACCAAGGCUACGACGGAUAGCCGGUCUGAGAGGAUGAUCGGCCACACUGGCACUGAGACACGGGCCAGACUCCUACGGGAGGCAGCAGUUAAGAAUCUUGCGCAAUGGGGGAAACCCUGACGCAGCGACGCCGCGUGAAGGAUGAAGGCUUUCGGGUUGUAAACUUCGGUAGACUGGGAAGAAGAAAUACGUUCGUUGAGGGCGUAUAGUGACGGUACCAGUCUGAAGCCCCGGCUAAUUACGUG